AUGGUCGUUGUCACAUGGUGGUGGUGGCACAGGGCCACGCAGCCGCGCUCCGGGCCACGGCGAGCGGCGUCGCGGUCACCGACAGCGGAACAGAAUCAUCGGCAGCUUUUGGCGUGGCGAGUAACAUGCACGGCCACUAGCUACUCCAUCCAUCGGUCCCGAAGCCAUCUCACUCAUCUGCGCACAUGCGCUGCGCAGCCCACCCACGUCCGGCCGAGAUCCCGACGCGCCCUCGCACCCGCGCCACACGAAAGCACAUCAGUGCGCAGGGGAAGCCGGUCGACCCGGGGCGCGCACGCUCCCUCGAUCAGCCCGCAGGCAGGGCGCGGCCGGUUAUACACCGCACGUGCCGGCCAGCGCGCGCCGGGGCCAUGCCCACGCAUGCCAUGCUCAGGACGCGUACGUGGGCGCGUGCAGCCAGAGCAUGCGUGA
This 432-nucleotide ribosomal RNA is filed under the name Triticum aestivum (bread wheat). Its description in RNAcentral is "partial small subunit ribosomal RNA". The record is from RNAcentral. Lineage: Eukaryota; Viridiplantae; Streptophyta; Magnoliopsida; Poales; Poaceae.